GACGAACGCUGGCGGCGUGCUUAACACAUGCAAGUCGAACGGAAAGGCCCUGCUUUUGUGGGGUGCUCGAGUGGCGAACGGGUGAGUAACACGUGAGUAACCUGCCCUUGACUUUGGGAUAACUUCAGGAAACUGGGGCUAAUACCGGAUAGGAGCUCCUGCUGCAUGGUGGGGGUUGGAAAGUUUCGGCGGUUGGGGAUGGACUCGCGGCUUAUCAGCUUGUUGGUGGGGUAGUGGCUUACCAAGGCUUUGACGGGUAGCCGGCCUGAGAGGGUGACCGGCCACAGUGGGACUGAGAUACGGCCCAGACUCCUACGGGAGGCAGCAGUGGGGAAUAUUGCACAAUGGGCGGAAGCCUGAUGCAGCAACGCCGCGUGCUGGAUGACGGCCUUCGGGUUGUAAACCGCUUUCGCCUGUGACGAAGCGUGAGUGACGGUAAUGGGUAAAGAAGCACCGGCUAACUACGUG
This 468-nucleotide ribosomal RNA is filed under the name uncultured bacterium. RNAcentral's name for it is "partial 16S ribosomal RNA". It matches the Rfam family "Bacterial small subunit ribosomal RNA", at positions 28 to 507 of the family's 1533-position model. The record is from RNAcentral.